AUUGAACGCUGGCGGCAGGCUUUACACAUGCAAGUCGAACGGCAGCGCGGGCUUCGCCCUGGCGGCGAGUGGCGAACGGGUGAGUAAUGCAUCGGAACCUGCCCAGUAGUGGGGGAUAGCGCGCGGAAAGGGGGAUUAAUACCGCAUACGACCUGAGGGUGAAAGCGGGGGACCUAAGGGCCUCGCGCUAUUGGAGCAGCCGAUGUCGGAUUAGCUAGUUGGUGGGGUAAAGGCUUACCAAGGCGACGAUCCGUAGCUGGUCUGAGAGGACGACCAGCCACACUGGGAAUGAGACACGGCGCAGAGUCCUCCGGGAGGGAGCAGUGGGGAAAUUUGGACAAUGGGGGCAACACUGAUCCAGCCCUGCGGCGUGCGGGAAGAGGGCCUUCGGGUUUUGAAAAGCUUUUGUACGGGAGGAAAACCGCAGGGCUAAUACCCCGGGGGGAUGACGGUACAGGAAGAGUAAGCACCGGCUAACUACGUG
RNAcentral lists this ribosomal RNA (484 nucleotides) under uncultured bacterium. Its description in RNAcentral is "partial 16S ribosomal RNA". It matches the Rfam family "Bacterial small subunit ribosomal RNA", at positions 29 to 507 of the family's 1533-position model. The record is from RNAcentral.